This 420-nucleotide ribosomal RNA is filed under the name uncultured bacterium. Its description in RNAcentral is "bacterial SSU rRNA". It matches the Rfam family "Bacterial small subunit ribosomal RNA", at positions 29 to 494 of the family's 1533-position model. The record is from RNAcentral.
AGCGAACGCUGGCGGCAGGCUUAACACAUGCAAGUCGAGCGGGCGUAGCAAUACGUCAGCGGCAGACGGGUGAGUAACGCGUGGGAACGUACCUUUUGGUUCGGAACAACACAGGGAAACUUGUGCUAAUACCGGAUAAGCCCUUACGGGGAAAGAUUUAUCGCCGAAAGAUCGGCCCGCGUCUGAUUAGCUAGUUGGUGAGGUAAUGGCUCACCAAGGCGACGAUCAGUAGCUGGUCGAGAGGAUGAUCAGCCACAUUGGGACUGAGACACGGCCCAAACUCCUACGGGAGGCAGCAGUGGGGAAUAUUGGACAAUGGGCGCAAGCCUGAUCCAGCCAUGCCGCGUGAGUGAUGAAGGCCUAGGGUUGUAAAGCUCUUUUGUGCGGGAAGAUAAUGACGGUACCGCAAGAAUAAGCCCC